UUUCUGUCCGUUUUCCGUUUCCAAGGGAACGUCGCCGCGAAUCAAAAGAAUCAAUCCCGCACGCAUUUCACGUUCAUCCCUUCCCUCCCUCCCUCCUGAAAAACCCCACCUUUUUCCAUGCCCAGCAGAAACAGAGAGAGAGAGAGAGAGAGAGAGAGAGAGAGAAGACGACACAGAGCUGUGAGAGCAGUAAAAGGGGAGGAGAAAGGACGGGCGAGACGACGAGAGAUUGAGAAGGGAUAAACCCCCCACCAGCAAGAAAGUUUGUAUGCGUGUCGUGGACACGCGGGCAGACGCAGACAGACAACUAUUAGUCGUCAUUGCGUCCUCUUCUUCCGUUAUAUAUUCUUAUCCCCCGUCCUCAUCUGCUCCUCUUCCUCCGUCCCUGUUCUUCCCUUAUCGGCCCAUUCUGGGUGAUUUCUUGCCUUCAUUUUGCAUUCGAGUGGAUUGAGGAGCUGAGGAAGUGAUUGUUUCUCUUUCUGGGAUUUCUUCAUUCCGGUGGUUGGAGGGAUUGGUAGCAGUGCUGGUUUGAGGAAGGAAAAAAAUAAAAAAUAAAAAUAAAGAAAGGUAAAUGAGAUAUGUCGAUGCCCAAAGAGCCGGAGCAGGUGAUGAAGCUGAGAGGAGGGUCGGUGCUGGGGAAGAAGACCAUUCUCAAGAGUGACCAUUUCCCCGGCUGCCAGAACAAGCGCCUCUCCCCUCAGAUCGAUGGCGCCCCCAAUUACCGUCAGGCGGACUCAUUGCGCGUCCAUGGAGUCGCGAUUCCGACCCUUGAUGGGAUUCGGAAUGUUCUUAAGCAUAUCGGCGCCCAGGAGGAUGGGAUGCGGGCGAAGGUUCUCUGGAUUAGUCUUCGGGAGGAGCCGGUUGUGUACAUCAAUGGACGUCCCUUUGUUUUGCGUGAUGUGGAAAAGCCCUUCUCCAACCUUGAAUACACGGGAAUUAAUCGGGAUAGGGUUGAGCAGAUGGAGGAAAGAUUAAAAGAAGAUAUCAUGGUGGAAGCUGCAAGCAGAUAUGGGAAUAAGAUCCUUGUAACUGAUGAACUGCCAGAUGGCCAAAUGGUGGAUCAAUGGGAACCUGUGUCCGGCGAUUCUGUGAAGACACCUCUGGAGGUAUCAAUUUCCGAACUGGCAGCGGAGACCGUGCCAAAAAAGGUGUACCAAGAAUUGCAACUCGAAGGUUACCUUGUUGAUUAUGAACGUGUGCCUGUAACUGAUGAAAAAUCACCAAAGGAGCAAGAUUUUGAUAUUUUGGUGGACAAAAUUUCCCAGGCAGAUAUUUCUACCGACAUAGUGUUUAACUGUCAGAUGGGACGUGGAAGGACAACAACUGGAAUGGUGAUCGCUACUCUUAUUUACCUUAACCGUAUUGGGGCUUCAGGUAUUCCGAGAAUCAAUUCUAUUGGGAGGAUUUCCGACUCUGCCUCUAGUGUCCCAGACAAUUUGCCGAAUUCAGAAGAGGCAAUUCGCCGGGGGGAGUAUGCUGUCAUAAGAAGCUUGAUCAGGGUCUUGGAGGGCGGUGUUGAGGGCAAAAGACAAGUUGAUAAAGUAAUUGACAAGUGCGCCUCCAUGCAGAAUUUGCGUGAGGCGAUCGGCAAUUACCGCAACAGUAUUUUACGUCAAGCUGAUGAGAUGAAGAGAGAGGCAUUACUCUCAUUCUUUGUGGAGUAUUUGGAGAGAUACUACUUCCUUAUAUGUUUUGCGGUUUAUAUCCAUUCGGAGAGGGAAGCGCUCCACUCUAGUUCUCUUGGCCAUAGCAGUUUUGCUGAUUGGAUGAAAGCAAGGCCUGAACUCUAUAGCAUAAUUCGUAGGCUGCUUAGGCGGGAUCCAAUGGGUGCACUAGGAUACUCAACUCGCAAGCCAUCUUUGACGAAGAUAGUAGAAUCUGCAGAUGGCCGCCCUUAUGAAAUGGGAGUAGUUGCCGCCCGAAGAACUGGAGAGGUUCUUGGAAGUCAAACAGUACUUAAAAGUGAUCACUGCCCAGGUUGUCAAAACCCUAGCUUACCUGAGAGGGUGGAGGGUGCCCCAAAUUUCCGAGAAGUUCCUGGCUUUCCUGUUUAUGGAGUUGCAAACCCGACCAUUAAUGGGAUAAGAUCAGUCAUCCGGAGGAUCGGUAGUGGAAAACAUGGACGCCCAGUAUUCUGGCAUAACAUGAGAGAAGAGCCGGUUAUCUACAUCAAUGGAAAGCCAUUUGUUCUUCGUGAAGUUGAAAGGCCAUACAAAAACAUGCUUGAAUAUUCGGGUAUUGAUCGGGAGAGAGUAGAGAAGAUGGAAGCUCGUUUAAAAGAAGAUAUUCUUCGAGAAGCUGAACGCUAUGGUGGUGCUAUCAUGGUCAUUCAUGAAACAGAGGAUGGACAAAUAUUUGAUGCUUGGGAACAUGUAAAUUCUGAAUCUGUUCAGACCCCUCUGGAAGUGUUUAAGAGCUUGGAGUCCGAAGGCUUCCCAAUUAAGUAUGCAAGGGUGCCUAUAACUGACGGAAAAGCUCCUAAGAGUUCCGACUUCGACACAUUAGCUGUCAAUAUUUCUUCUGCUUCCAAGGACACUGCUUUUGUUUUCAAUUGCCAGAUGGGGAGGGGAAGAACCACUACGGGGACUGUAAUUGCUUGCCUUCUAAAGCUCCGAAUUGAAUAUGGGAGACCCAUUAGAGUUCUAGUUGAUGACAUGGUCCAGGAAGAAGAGGUGGACGAGGGCUCCUCGAGUGGAGAAGAAAAUGGAAGCAAUAAUACUCCUGCAUCUACAAAAUUGGUCAAGGAAAACUCAAACAAGGAGCAAACUCGUGCUUUUGGAAUGAAUGACAUCCUAUUGCUGUGGAAAAUUACUAACAUAUUUGAUAAUGGGGUCCAAUGUAGGGAGGCCUUAGAUGCUAUAAUUGACCGAUGCUCUGCUCUUCAGAACAUUCGACAAGCUGUAUUGCAGUACAGGAAGGUGUUCAAUCAACAGCAUGUAGAGCCCAGAGUGAGGCGGGUGGCACUGAAUCGCGGGGCUGAGUAUUUGGAGAGGUACUUCCGUCUGAUUGCAUUUGCUGCUUAUCUUGGGAGUGAAGCAUUUGAUGGGUUUUGUGGGCAAGGAGAGUCGAGGAUGACUUUUAAGAGCUGGUUACAUCAAAGGCCUGAGCUUCAGGCAAUGAAGUGGAGUAUUAGGUUACGGCCUGGGCGGUUCUUCACUGUUCCGGAGGAGUUAAGAAUGCCACAAGAGACGCAGCACGGGGAUGCUGUGAUGGAAGCAAUUAUCAAGGCUCGAAAUGGCUCUGUAUUGGGCAAAGGCUCGAUCCUGAAGAUGUAUUUCUACCCGGGUCAGAGAACUUCCAGCACCAUACAGAUUCAUGGGGCUCCUCAUGUUUACAAGGUUGAUGGCUUCCCAGUGUUCAGUAUGGCAACUCCAACUAUCGCUGGUGCUAAGGAGAUGUUGGCAUAUCUCAGUGCCCAUCCUGAUGCGGGAGAAAAGUCCCACAAAGUCGUAAUAACUGAUCUUAGAGAAGAAGCAGUUGUUUACAUCAAUGGAACUCCAUUUGUCCUCAGGGAACUCAACAAACCCGUGGAUACACUCAAGCAUAUAGGAAUUACUGGCCCUGUGGUGGAGCAUUUGGAAGCUCGUCUAAAAGAAGACAUCUUAGCCGAAGUCCGCAAAGGCAGUGGUAGAAUGCUUUUACAUCGGGAGGAAUAUAGUCCUGCAUCUCACCAGUCAAGCGUGAUAGGCUACUGGGAGAACAUUUAUGCCAAGGAUGUGAUGACUCCUGCUGAAGUUUAUGCGUCUUUGAAGGAUAAAGGAUACAAUAUCACAUAUCAGAGGAUACCGUUAACGAGAGAGAGAGAGGCUUUAGCUUCUGAUGUUGAUGCUGUUCAGAACUGCAAAGACAAUUAUUUUGUUCAGUUCUGCUGGGUGCUAUCUUUUUGUGUCUCACACCGGGUUUGGGGGAGCUGCCUAUGCAAUGUCAAUUACUUGUCUUAAACUCAAGGCGGGGGCUAAUUCUGAACCUAUGCUCGAGCAGUCGCUGAUGAGUACGAACCUGAAUCCCACACCUGAACAGAACCUACCUCCAAGGACUUCUGUCGAAGAGGCGCUAAAGAUGGGCGAUUACAGCGACAUACUCAACCUUACAAGGGUCCUUAUCUACGGUCCCAAGAGCAAAGCAGAUGUUGAUGUUAUAAUUGAUAGGUGUACUGGAGCUGGGCAUUUACGGGAUGAUAUCCUCUACUAUAGGAAAGAACUCGAGAAGAUAUAUGAUUAUGAUCAUGAGGAGGAAGAAGAACAGCGAUCGUAUCUCGUUGACAUGGGCAUCAAGGCUUUGAGGCGAUACUUCUUCCUCAUCACAUUUAGAUCAUACCUCUACUGCACGUCGGGAGCUGACGAGACAUCAUUUGCAUCAUGGAUGGAGGCGAGACCUGAACUCGGGCACCUCUUUCACAACCUCAGAAUAGAUCGAUAGAUAGAUGAAGUGAUAGCUCGGAAUCUAUUGUACAGUUUGAAAAACCUCCCUACAUAUCCCAUUAGCACUAGCAGAGAGUAUUUGUAGUUGUAGGCAGUUUAGUUCCAAACAUUGUUUCCUAGGUUGCCGUUUUCUAUUUAUAUAAAUGUAUUUUCCUUUUUCCUGUUCAAUUUCAUGAAGAUGUACAUAAAUGAUAAGCUCUUUAGUAUAAAAUGUAUAAUCCGCUUAUGAUCU
Punica granatum (pomegranate) is the source of this 4653-nucleotide non-coding RNA. The record is from RefSeq and is a predicted model, not a curated record. NCBI's taxonomy places the organism in Eukaryota, Viridiplantae, Streptophyta, Magnoliopsida, Myrtales, Lythraceae.